Molecule: RNA transcript, 4965 nt
Organism: Ananas comosus (pineapple)
Lineage: Eukaryota; Viridiplantae; Streptophyta; Magnoliopsida; Poales; Bromeliaceae
Gene name: probable chromatin-remodeling complex ATPase chain
Exons: 27
Source: RefSeq, a predicted model, not a curated record
ACAAACAACUCCCCACACGUGCGAGCCCCUUCGCGUUCUCACGCACUUCCUCGUUGUUCGCUCCAAACACCUCUCUCUCUCUCUCUCUCUCUCUACACACCUUUUCUUCGUGCGACGCCAAAACCCUCGCCCUCUCCGACCACUCUCGGCCAUGGCCAAGCCCUCCGAUCCCGGCGAUCUCGCCGAGGAGAAGCCCUACGGCUCCGUACCCUCCGACGAGGACGACGACGAUGAUGAGGGGAGGAGCGGGGCGGCGGCGGGGGAGGAAGAGGGUGGCGAUGGCGACGACGAUCGGGAGCCGGAGUUGGUGGCGAGAAUGGCGAGCCCCGGCCAUGGCGAGGGCGGCGGAGAUGAUGGUGGAUCCUCCACCGAGGACGAUGAACCGAUGAACGAUGAUGACGGUGAUGGUGAUGAGGUUGAGGACCCAUCUUCAAAUGCGGAUGUGGGAAAGCGUGAACGAGCUAGGCUAAGAGAGUUGCAGAGGCAGAAGAAGCAAAAGAUUGACGAAAUACUGGCUGCCCAAAAUGCAGCAAUUGAUGAAGCCAUGAACAAUAAAGGGAAAGGUCCGCUUAAGUAUUUGCUGCAACAGACAGAGAUAUUUGCUCACUUUGCAAAGGGAUCCCAAUUUGCUUCAGAAAGGAAAUCUAGAGGGAGGGGUCGCCACGCACCUAAGGUUACCGAGGAGGAAGAAGACGAGGAAUGCCUUAGAGAGGAAGAAGGUGGUUUCUCUGGUGCAGCAGGGACACGCUUGGUUACACAGCCAUCUUGUAUUCAGGGGAAAAUGAGGGAUUACCAGCUAGCAGGGCUAAACUGGCUGAUACGUCUGUAUGAAAAUGGAAUCAAUGGGAUUCUAGCUGAUGAGAUGGGCCUUGGGAAAACAUUGCAAACCAUCUCCUUACUUGGCUAUUUGCACGAAUUUAGAGGAAUUACAGGCCCUCACUUAGUGGUUGCCCCUAAAUCUACUCUCGGCAACUGGAUGAAAGAGAUCCGUCGAUUUUGUCCUGUUUUGCGUGCAGUAAAGUUGCUGGGGAACCGAGAUGAAAGGAAACAUAUUUGUGAGAAUUUGUUAGUUGCUGGGAAGUUUGAUGUUUGUGUUACCAGUUUUGAGAUGGCCAUUAAAGAGAAAAAUGCCUUGAGACGUUUUAGUUGGCGAUAUGUGAUUAUUGAUGAAGCACAUCGGAUAAAAAAUGAGAACUCUCUUCUUUCGAAAACAAUGAGGCUCUACAAUACAAAUUAUCGCCUUCUUAUUACAGGAACACCUCUACAGAACAAUCUUCAUGAAUUAUGGUCUCUUCUUAAUUUUCUCCUCCCUGAGAUAUUUAGUUCAGCUGAAACCUUUGAUGAAUGGUUCAAAAUAUCAGGAGAAAAUGAUCAGCAGGAGGUCAUUCAACAGCUUCACAAGGUUCUUCGUCCAUUUCUGCUCCGUAGGCUUAAAUCUGAUGUUGAAAAGGGUUUGCCUCCAAAAAAGGAAACUAUACUCAAAGUUGGAAUGUCCCAGAUGCAAAAGAACUAUUAUCGGGCUUUGCUUCAGAAAGAUUUGGAAAUUAUAAAUGCAGGGGGUGAACGGAAGCGUCUUCUUAACAUUGCUAUGCAGCUGCGCAAAUGUUGUAAUCAUCCAUAUUUGUUCCAAGGUGCAGAACCUGGUCCACCUUACACAACUGGGGAGCAUCUAAUAACAAAUGCAGGAAAAAUGGUUCUUCUAGAUAAGUUACUUCGCAAGUUAAAAGAACGAGAUUCAAGAGUUCUAAUAUUUUCACAGAUGACAAGACUUCUGGAUAUCUUAGAAGAUUAUCUACUGUUCCGUGGAUAUCGAUAUUGCCGGAUUGAUGGGAAUACUGUUGGGGAAGAUCGUGAUGCUUCAAUCGAAGCCUUCAAUCGACCAGGAAGUGACAAGUUUGUUUUCUUGCUUUCUACGCGAGCAGGUGGCCUAGGGAUUAACCUUGCUACAGCAGAUGUUGUUAUUCUCUAUGACAGUGAUUGGAACCCGCAAGUUGAUUUACAAGCACAAGACCGCGCUCAUAGGAUUGGACAAAAAAAGGAAGUUCAAGUAUUUCGUUUCUGCGCAGAGUAUACUAUUGAGGAGAAAAUAAUUGAGAGGGCGUAUAAGAAACUUGCACUUGAUGCUUUGGUGAUUCAACAAGGUCGAUUAGCAGAGCAGAAAACUGUUAAUAAGGAUGAAUUACUGCAAAUGGUGAGAUUUGGUGCUGAAAUGGUCUUCAGUUCUAAGGACAGCACAAUCACAGACGAGGAUAUUGACCGAAUUAUCGCCAAGGGAGAGAAGGCAACAGCAGAGCUUGAUGCCAAAAUGAAGAAAUUUACUGAGGAUGCAAUCAAGUUUAAGAUGGAUGAUGGUGCACAGUUGUAUGACUUUGACGAUGAGAAGGAUGAGAAUAGAACUGACUUCAAGAAACUUGUCGCUGAUAAUUGGAUUGAACCACCAAAGAGGGAAAGGAAACGCAAUUACUCGGAUACUGAUUAUUUUAAGCAAGCAUUGCGCCAAGGUGCCGGUGCUCCUGCUAAAUCAAGAGAACCUAGGAUUCCUCGCAUGCCUCAGCUGCACGAUUUUCAAUUUUUUAACACCAAGAGAUUAAGCGAAUUAUAUGAGAAAGAAGUACGGUACCUUAUGCACGUGCAUCAAAAGAACCAAUCAAAAGACACAAUAGGUGAUGAUGAUGAUUCUGAAGACUUUGGAGAACCAUUGACUGCUAAGGAACAACAAGAAAAGGAACGCUUAUUAGAAGAGGGCUUCUCAUCAUGGACAAGGAGAGACUUUAAUACAUUCAUUCGAACAUGUGAGAAAUAUGGACGGAAUGAUAUAAAGAGUAUAGCUUCUGAAAUGGAGGGAAAAACACAAGAGGAGGUAGAAAGAUAUGCUAAAGUUUUUAAAGAAAGAUACAGAGAAUUGAAUGAUUAUGACCGAAUAAUUAAAAUUAUAGAGAGAGGAGAGGCAAAAAUUUCGCGAAAAGAUGAGAUAAUGAGAGCAAUUAGGAAGAAAAUGGAUCGAUACAAGAACCCAUGGUCAGAGUUGAAGAUACAAUAUGGGCAAAACAAAGGGAAGUUGUACAACGAGGAGUGUGACCGCUUUUUGCUAUGCAUGGUCCACAAACUUGGUUACGGAAACUGGGAUGAGCUCAAAGCAGCUUUUCGGUCCUCACCUUUAUUCCGCUUUGACUGGUUUGUGAAGUCUCGUACUACUCAGGAGCUUGCUAGACGUUGUGACACACUUAUUCGCCUCGUGGAGAAAGAAAAUCAAGAAUAUGAUGAGCGGGAAAAACACGCGAGGAAAAAGAAUUUGACACCAUCAAGACUUUCCAGUGCUAGAAUUCCAGCAAUGGAGAUCCCAACACUGGGUUCUUUUAAGAGAAUGAAGAAAUUGACCAUGGAUACUUACACAAGCUCGGGAAGGAGGAGGUGAGUAGGUGACUCUGUUGAAUCUUCACUGCUGACUUUGGAAGUUUGUCAGGUUGAUUGCAAAUAUGCUGCUGCUAUGGUUCGAUUGUUUGGGUGUUGAACUGCUGCUUUGCUCCAAGUAUGCUCAUAUUAUUGCUCGGCAUCAUAGCGAAGCAGAAGAUCCGCUUUCCAGCAAAGUUUGCGAACAAUCCUGACUGCCGUAUGUGGUAAUUCGCACCAUCUCUGAACUGCAGGGUCAUAGUUGGCAACUCUUGCUCAAUCCCCUGCAUCAUUUUAUAGCACAGUCGAAAUGGCAAACUGGAAUCAUUUACAGGACGAAGAUUGAGCCGGAGGCGGAAAUAAUCCUUCAUCACAUCUUCCACCCGAUCAAAUGCGUAAGUGGUUAGAUGCGUCACGGCGGCUCCUGAAUCUAUUACGAAACUACUAGUUCCAUUGCUCUGUCGUGUGAAGGUCCCUCUCGGGAAUCGCAUGCGCCGCCCGUUGAAACUGAUGUCCUUCACAUCAAGGUAAUAGGGUUCGCAGUCGGGGUAUGCUAAGAUCCUUGUACUUUGGAAGCCUCCUCGCGGCGUUCUGAUAUCAUGACCAAACCGUAGGAAGCUGGUGUGGGCGGUUUCGGGCGGGAAGAAGCAAUAGGAGAAAAGACCGUCUGUUCGCGUAGCAAGUUGCUUCACUGUCGAAGUAGGGUUUCGAGACAUACCGAAGAUCCCUGCAGGGUUUUCGUGAUAGUUCAUGUUGCUUGAGUGGGUGCAACCGAAGAAUAGAUUUCGAAUGGCUACACGAUGGCUGGCAUGUGCAUCUUGGAAGCUAAAGGUCUCUUUCGAGAGGACGCCGUCGAUGAAGGUAUUGUCGAAGUAUCGGAUGUUGUAUUCACAACGAUUGUUGACACAUUUAUAUCGUGGGGGCUUGCAUACAGGGUCAUCGCAGCCGACGACAUGGUAUGUGUCAGAUAAUCGGGGAUCGAACUUGGGUGCAGAUUGAGGGAAACCUGUGCGGCACGGAAGGCAUUGCGUCCACGUGAGGCUCGAGCCGGUGUCCAUAUGGAGGUAGUAGUUGCGCAAGCCAUUACCAGAACCAAUACUGACCGCGACCAUAAAUAUCGCAGGUGGCAUUGCACGAAGAGGGGGGCGUAUGACGGUAGGAUUGGCUCUGGCGAUCAUCAUCGACUCCAGCCAGAGAACACGAGACUUAGAAUAGUCGAUCGAGCGAACGAUACGUUGGAAAUCGGUGAGGUUCGCAUCGUAGAGCGGCGAGCGCUUGGAGUCGAUGUGGAUAAGCUCAAGGCUAAAACCUUUCUCUCCAGUGAUCAGUUGUGCAUAUGAAGAGUGGAGAAGAAGAGAGAAGUAGAUGAGUAGGUUCAAUGGGGACAUAGUGAGAUAGAAUACUAAGUUAUUAUUGUUAUAUGACAAGGUUUGAGGCUAUUGCAUGUGAAUAUAUAUAUACAAAUAAAGAGGAGUUCAAAGUUAGAAUUGGUUCAUCUGAUUGGACAUUUUGGAUUUGAUGUAGGAUACACUCCCUAAACUUUUGUUUGUUUCGAAUUAUAUUAUUUUAGUCAUA